This 253-nucleotide ribosomal RNA is filed under the name uncultured bacterium. Its description in RNAcentral is "partial 16S ribosomal RNA". It matches the Rfam family "Bacterial small subunit ribosomal RNA", at positions 524 to 776 of the family's 1533-position model. The record is from RNAcentral.
UACGGGGGGGGCAAGCGUUGUUCGGAAUUACUGGGCGUAAAGGGCUCGUAGGCGGCCAACUAAGUCAGACGUGAAAUCCCUCGGCUUAACCGGGGAACUGCGUCUGAUACUGGAUGGCUUGAGUUCGGGAGAGGGAUGCGGAAUUCCAGGUGUAGCGGUGAAAUGCGUAGAUAUCUGGAGGAACACCGGUGGCGAAGGCGGCAUCCUGGACCGACACUGAUGCUGAGGAGCGAAAGCCAGGGGAGCAAACGGG